CUCUAUUUAGUAGCAAAUGGUUUAAGAAAUACUAAUUGGUACAAACAUAUAGUCCUGUGCUAGGAUUUUCAGAAGCCCCAAUUUUUUUUAUCUUGGUGCUUGUAUGAAGAAUUCAUAUGCUGUAGGAGGGAAAUAAAUCAACUAAUCAGAAGAGUUCAAUAGUGAAAUCUUCAUUUUGGAUUGAUUUUCUUAGCUGUUUAUGCACUGCCCAUCUGCAUACACAAGUGAUAUGUCUCCAAAAACAGGUGAUCGAAACAGGUGACGCAAACUAGGUGGUGAAACUAUAAAAUCUCUAUUUACAGGUUUACUCACUUAUUAGUGAAUUUGUGGAAAACACAACUGUUAGGGUAAAACAGACAGACUAGAAACAUGUUCUAAUAACGCAACUACAUUUUUUAACUCAAUGCCUGUGAUCACAGGUUUUAUAGUACAGCAAAAGUACGUUGUGUUGUUAUAUUAUAUGUCCAGCCAAAAUAGCUAAGCAGGAAAAAUAGCUAAGUAGGAACAUUUGUCCAAUUUAGUUACUUCGGCCUGAAAUUUGCCAUUCUUAAUGUAUUCCUGAAAACUCACAGUAUACUCAAUGACCCUAAUAAGGUGGUUCACCAAACCAGAAAUGUAUGGAGAAUGGCAAAUAUUUCGGCAAAAUAGCUGGAUGGCGGAAAAAGUUCCAACUCGCUUAGCUAAACAAACACUCAGAGCUAUUAACUAAAGUGAAAAUUUAAAGUGAAUGUCAAAAUUUAAGGCCAGAGUAGUCAAACUGAAAUUGUAGCUGAAUUAGAGAAUUUUUCCAGUUUGGCUAUUUUGACUUUAAAUUUGAAAUUAAUUUUUAAUUCACUUUGCAUUCUUACUUUAGUAAAUAACCCUGAUAAUUUUCCCCAAGAGUUAAAUCAGUGUGGAUGCUGUGGUUUCUGUGGGAGUGAUGUUAUGGCCUUUGAUGUUAUGCAAAGGCCAUGAUGACACAGUACACAUGCAUGUGUAUGCAUUUACAAGCAUGCUUUCCUAGAGUGGCUUUGUCACCUUUGGGAGAAGGGUGUGUCAUGGCUAUUUUACAAAGUCCCUGGAAGGUGACAUCCCUAAUCGGUAUAAAGCAGCUGGGAAGUGUAAACUAAGGUGUAUACAUGACUGUCGGAUCCUUCAUAGACCAGUCCGCAUUAAUGUAGGCGGACAUGACAAAUUCCAAAAGUUGUUAUAGUAACAGCUGUGGGAAUAAUAAAACUGACAACAUUUGACACUUUAUAUAUUUAUAUUUACC
Molecule: non-coding RNA, 1252 nt
Organism: Pelobates cultripes (western spadefoot toad)
Lineage: Eukaryota; Metazoa; Chordata; Amphibia; Anura; Pelobatidae
Source: the annotation of a GenBank genome assembly